AUUAUAUGGUCAAGAAGAGAAGCGCAAACGGUGGAUGCCUUGGCAGUAAGAGGCGAAGAAGGACGUGGAAUCCUGCGAAAAGCUAUGGGGAGCU
This 94-nucleotide ribosomal RNA is filed under the name Legionella pneumophila subsp. pneumophila. RNAcentral describes it as "partial 23S ribosomal RNA". It matches the Rfam family "Bacterial large subunit ribosomal RNA", at positions 1 to 87 of the family's 2925-position model. The record is from RNAcentral. Lineage: Bacteria; Pseudomonadati; Pseudomonadota; Gammaproteobacteria; Legionellales; Legionellaceae.